Molecule: ribosomal RNA, 466 nt
Filed under: uncultured bacterium
Lineage: Bacteria
Description: partial 16S ribosomal RNA
Rfam family: Bacterial small subunit ribosomal RNA
Source: RNAcentral
GAUGAACGCUGGCGGCGUGCUUAACACAUGCAAGUCGAACGAUGAAGCCCAGCUUGCCGGGUGGAUUAGUGGCGAACGGGUGAGUAACACGUGAGUAACCUGCCCUUAACUCUGGGAUAAGCCUGGGAAACUGGGUCUAAUACCGGAUAGGAGCGUCCACCGCAUGGUGGGUGUUGGAAAGAUUUAUCGGUUUUGGAUGGACUCGCGGCCUAUCAGCUUGUUGGUGAGGUAAUGGCUCACCAAGGCGACGACGGGUAGCCGGCCCGAGAGGGUGACCGGCCACACUGGGACUGAGACACGGCCCAGACUCCUACGGGAGGCAGCAGUGGGGAAUAUUGCACAAUGGGCGCAAGCCUGAUGCAGCGACGCCGCGUGAGGGAUGACGGCCUUCGGGUUGUAAACCUCUUUCAGUAGGGAAGAAGCGAAAGUGACGGUACCUGCAGAAGAAGCACCGGCUAACUACGUG